This 858-nucleotide ribosomal RNA is filed under the name Reticulascus tulasneorum. RNAcentral's name for it is "LSU rRNA". It matches the Rfam family "Eukaryotic large subunit ribosomal RNA", at positions 74 to 963 of the family's 3401-position model. Lineage: Eukaryota; Fungi; Ascomycota; Sordariomycetes; Glomerellales; Reticulascaceae. The record is from RNAcentral.
AUUGCCCCAGUAACGGCGAGUGAAGCGGCAACAGCUCAAAUUUGAAAUCUGGCUCUCGGGCCCGAGUUGUAAUUUGUAGAGGAUGCUUUUGGCAAGGUUCCUUCUGAGUUCCCUGGAACGGGACGCCGGAGAGGGUGAGAGCCCCKUACGGUCGGAUACUUAGCCUCUGUAAAGCUCCUUCGACGAGUCGAGUAGUUUGGGAAUGCUGCUCAAAAUGGGAGGUAAAUUUCUUCUAAAGCUAAAUACCGGCCAGAGACCGAUAGCGCACAAGUAGAGUGAUCGAAAGAUGAAAAGCACUUUGAAAAGAGGGUUAAAUAGCACGUGAAAUUGUUAAAAGGGAAGCGCUUGUGACCAGACUUGCGCCUGGUAAAUCAUCUAGCGUUCUCGCUAGUGCACUUUGCCGGCUCAGGCCAGCAUCAGUUUGCUGUCGGGGACAAAAGCUUUGGGAACGUAGCUCUCUUCGGAGAGUGUUAUAGCCCGUUGCAUAAUACCCUUCGGCGGACUGAGGUACGCGCUCCGCAAGGAUGCUGGCAUAAUGGUCAUCAGCGACCCGUCUUGAAACACGGACCAAGGAGUCAACCUUAUGUGCGAGUGUUUGGGUGUUAAACCCCUACGCGUAAUGAAAGUGAACGCAGGUGAGAGCUUCGGCGCAUCAUCGACCGAUCCUGAUGUUCUCGGAUGGAUUUGAGUAAGAGCAUAUAGGGUUGGACCCGAAAGAAGGUGAACUAUGCGUGUAUAGGGUGAAGCCAGAGGAAACUCUGGUGGAGGCUCGCAGCGGUUCUGACGUGCAAAUCGAUCGUCAAAUAUGCGCAUGGGGGCGAAAGACUAAUCGAACCUUCUAGUAGCUGGUUUCCGCGA